GAAAUGCGAUAAGUAGUGUGAAUUGCAGAAUUCAGUGAAUCAUCGAAUCUUUGAACGCACAUUGCGCCCCUUGGUAUUCCAUGGGGCAUGCCUGUUCGAGCGUCAUUUGUACCUUCAAGCUUUGCUUGGUGUUGGGUGUUUGUCUCGCCUCUGCGCGCAGACUCGCCUCAAAACAAUUGGCAGCCGGCGUAUUGAUUUCGGAGCGCAGUACAUCUCGCGCUUUGCACUCAUAACGACGACGUCCAAAAAGUACAUUUUUUACACUCUUGACCUCGGAUCAGGUAGGGAUACGCGCUGAACUUAAGC
Molecule: unclassified non-coding RNA, 306 nt
Filed under: plant metagenome
Description: partial contains 5.8S ribosomal RNA, internal transcribed spacer 2, and large subunit ribosomal RNA
Rfam family: 5.8S ribosomal RNA (bases 1-105)
Source: RNAcentral